Callorhinus ursinus (northern fur seal) is the source of this 637-nucleotide non-coding RNA. NCBI's taxonomy places the organism in Eukaryota, Metazoa, Chordata, Mammalia, Carnivora, Otariidae. The record is from RefSeq and is a predicted model, not a curated record.
CAAUGGGCUGCGGGCGCGCGCCUCACGGUUCUCGGCACCAGCCGGUAGCGGCCGCGGGACGGUUACGCCGUUCGCCCCAGGGAUCCCUCCACCGCUGCGCGCCUCGCGACCUCCGAUUGGAGCCGUGGGCGCCGCCCAGGCCCGGCUGCAGCCGGAGGAAGGGAGGAUAGGAAAGAACCUUCUGUUGGAUGAAAUAAAAGCAAACACUGGGCCUUCUGCGCUGCCUCCACCUCCACGCCCCUCCCGCGCCUGCCGCCCUCCCGGAUUGCACGGAAAUAGCUUCUCCAGGCUCCCCGGCCGCCCCUUCGCGGUGACUCGCAGAAAGAGCUUCCUGAGCCGGGGCCGGUAGGAAACAAAGGAUGUGGGGAGCUGGCGGAAGGGGCCCACGUGGCUGCCGCCGGAUUCCUGCCCCCUCCUCGGCCUCCGCACGCGCAGCAGGGCCUGGGGCCCUGGAGUCAGCCCCUGUUCCGCGGAGGGCGGGUAGAGGAGUAGAAGUCAUUCUGGCCACCGAUUGUGAUACUGCCUACACCCGGACAUCCCUGCAGGUUGUGUGCGUACAUUCGUGCAAUGCGAUUUGGGUGAGCAUGAAAUGUGUGCCAGACCCCGCACCAAAAAAACCUCCGAGAAAAUAACUUAA